AGCCGGCGACGUUAGCCGAGUGGUCAAAAGCGGACGGCCUAUAGAGCACUCGAACUAACUCACCGGCCAGGCGUGGGUUCGAAUCCCAAGCUGGUCU
This 97-nucleotide transfer RNA is filed under the name Cotesia glomerata. RNAcentral describes it as "tRNA-Ile". Lineage: Eukaryota; Metazoa; Arthropoda; Insecta; Hymenoptera; Braconidae. The record is from RNAcentral.